AUGUGGACCUGUCUUCGUCAGCGCUAUGAGCCCUCUGGUGAUGCCUUAUACCUUUCUGUGGUUCGUCAGGAGCAUGCUCUUCAGCAGGGUGACUCUACUGUUGAUGACUUUUAUGCACAGAGUUCUGCUAUCUGGCGCCAGCUUGAUUCUCUCCGCAGUGCUGGUUGUCGUACUUGCCCCUGCUGCCAGGCUGUCCAGGCCGAUUUGGAGUUUCAUCGCGUCUACGAGUUCCUGUCUCGGCUCCAUAAGGAGUUUGAGCCCCGGCGUGCUCAGUUGUUUGCUCGUGGCCGUAUUUCUCUCAUGGAGGCGCUUUCAGAGAUUCGUGCUGAGGAGACUCGCCUACGUGGUGCUGGUUUGCUGGAGGUUCCCUCUGUGCUUGCUACUCGGGCUUCUUCCACUCCACCUGCGGCACCGCCCCAUUCUCGCUCGAGUGCUCCGCCGCUCUUGCCCACUCCUUCUGGAGGCUCCGGUCGCCCUCGUCCACACUGUGACUACUGCAACAAUGAUGGUCAUAUUGAGUCCCAGUGCUACACAAAGCGGAAACACCUGCGCAAGGCGCGAUCACCAUCCUCAGGGACUUCGUCA
Molecule: ribosomal RNA, 585 nt
Filed under: Triticum aestivum (bread wheat)
Lineage: Eukaryota; Viridiplantae; Streptophyta; Magnoliopsida; Poales; Poaceae
Description: partial small subunit ribosomal RNA
Source: RNAcentral